AGAGAGAGUUCUUUAGCUAGUUCAUUGGUGUGAAGGGCUUGUUGAUUUGGUGGUCAGCCAAUUCAUCUUUGUAUGUUGUUUGGUGGUUAGCCAACACAUUCAUUCUUUCUUAGGUGGUUAGCCUUAGAUCGUGGGUAUAUCAAGAGCCAUUCCGCAUCUCUUGACGAUCCUUUCAAUCCAUUUCAGUUCCAGAAGUGUCAUUUGCCUUCUCGGAUCAUAUCUAACACCUAGCUAAAGUGAUCCUUCAAUUCAGGACGCAUCAUAUAUUAUAUCGUGUUUCGGGUUGUUAAACCCUGGUUUAAGUUGAGGUUGAGUUUGGUGAUGAGCUAGUAAUUAGCAUAAU
Molecule: long non-coding RNA, 343 nt
Filed under: Brassica napus (rape)
Lineage: Eukaryota; Viridiplantae; Streptophyta; Magnoliopsida; Brassicales; Brassicaceae
Description: long non-coding RNA (BNAP_LNC013930)
Source: RNAcentral